RNAcentral lists this ribosomal RNA (484 nucleotides) under uncultured bacterium. Its description in RNAcentral is "partial 16S ribosomal RNA". It matches the Rfam family "Bacterial small subunit ribosomal RNA", at positions 30 to 507 of the family's 1533-position model. The record is from RNAcentral.
AUUGAACGCUGGCGGCAGGCCUAACACAUGCAAGUCGAGCGGAUGAAGGGAGCUUGCUCCUGGAUUCAGCGGCGGACGGGUGAGUAAUGCCUAGGAAUCUGCCUGGUAUUGGGGGAUAACGUCCGGAAACGGGCGCUAAUACCGCAUACGUCCUGAGGGUGAAAGUGGGGGAUCUUCGGACCUCACGCUAUCAGAUGAGCCUAGGUCGGAUUAGCUAGUUGGUGGGGUAAAGGCCUACCAAGGCGACGAUCCGUAACUGGUCUGAGAGGAUGAUCAGUCACACUGGAACUGAGACACGGUCCAGAGUCCUACGGGAGGCAGCAGUGGGGAAUAUUGGACAAUGGGCGAAAGCCUGAUCCAGCCAUGCCGCGUGUGUGAAGAAGGUCUUCGGAUUGUAAAGCACUUUAAGUUGGGAGGAAGGGCAGUAAGUUAAUACCUUGCUGUUUUGACGUUACCAACAGAAUAAGCACCGGCUAACUACGUG